GAUGAAGAACGUAGUGAAAUGCGAUAAGUAGUGUGAAUUGCAGAAGUACCGUGAAUCAUCGAAUCUUUGAACGCAAAUUGCACUCUCUGGUAUUCCGGGGAGUAUGCCUGUUUGAGGGUCGCUUAACAAACCAUCGAUUUCGUUGCUUUUUUUUUAAAGAGUGAUGUUUAUCGGAUUUGAGCCGUCUUUUUUUUUUAUAUUUAAAAGUGGCUUAAAAUUGAUUUUUUUGGUACGAUCGAAGCGUAUUUUUAUGAUCAAUUUUUGGUUAAAGAAACGCACACGUACCGUUAUUUAUAUGAUGUAAUACGUUUGACUAUUGGAUUUAGUUCAUUCGUAUACGAUAUCUUUCAAUAUUUGACCUCAAAUCAGGUAAGAACACCCGCUGAACUUAAGCAUAUCAAUAAGCGGAGGA
This 412-nucleotide unclassified non-coding RNA is filed under the name soil metagenome. RNAcentral's name for it is "partial contains 5.8S ribosomal RNA, internal transcribed spacer 2, and large subunit ribosomal RNA". The stretch from base 1 to 121 matches the Rfam family "5.8S ribosomal RNA", at positions 35 to 154 of the family's 154-position model. The record is from RNAcentral.